This 433-nucleotide ribosomal RNA is filed under the name uncultured bacterium. RNAcentral describes it as "partial 16S ribosomal RNA". It matches the Rfam family "Bacterial small subunit ribosomal RNA", at positions 29 to 507 of the family's 1533-position model. The record is from RNAcentral.
AACGAACGCUGGCGGCAUGCCUAACACAUGCAAGUCGAACGAGACCUCCGGGUUUUUGGGCGCACGUCUGCGUACCGCGUGGGAACCUGCCCUUAGGUUCGGAAUAACUGACUGAAAGAGAACCUAAUACCGCAUAAGGUCAUAGGACCAAAGAUUUAUCGCGGUGGGGUGGGGCCGGGUUGGUUUCGCUGGUUGGUAGGGUACAAGCCUACCAAGGCGUGGUUGCUUAGCUGGUCGGUGAGGAUGCUCUGCCACGAUGGGACUGAGACACGGCCCAGACUCCUACGGGAGGGAGCAGUAGAGAAUAUUGGACACGGGAGGAAAGCGUAAUCCAGCAACGCCGCGUGAGUGAUGAAGGCCGUAGGGUUGUAAAGCUCUUUUUCCCGGGAUGAUAAUGACAGUACCGGGAGAAUAAGCUCCGGCUAACUCCGUG